Molecule: ribosomal RNA, 1030 nt
Filed under: Planostegina operculinoides
Lineage: Eukaryota; Foraminifera; Rotaliida; Nummulitidae
Description: SSU rRNA
Rfam family: Eukaryotic small subunit ribosomal RNA
Source: RNAcentral
AAGGGCACCACAAGAACGCGUGGAGCAUGUGGCUUAAUUUGACUCAACGCGGGAAAUCUUACCGGGUCCGGACACACUGAGGAUUGACAGGUAUUAUUGUAUAUUCACUUACAUAUUCUUAAUAAUAUGUCUAGUGGUAUACAUGUUAAAUAUGCUAGUCCUUUCAUGAUUAUGUGAUAGGUGGUGCAUGGCCGUUCUUAGUUCGUGGAGUGAUCUGUCUGCUUAAUUGCGUUUCACUAAGGGCCUAUAAAUUUACGUAUGUUGCGGCGCUUUGACCCCUCUUAAUUGAGCGCGUGUCUUUGUCUGCUUAGCUCAUACAAUUAGGUCCUGAAAGCAACGAACGUGACCGCAACCUCUUGUUGCCUUUAUACCAAACACGUUGCAGUAAUAUUUUUCAUUACCUUGCUUCGUGCAAAAAGGCCUUUUAAACUAGAGGGACCGCUGUUACUUUCUUAAACCAGAGGAAGGUUGCGGCAAUAACAGGUCUGUGAUGCCCUUAGAUGUUCCGGGCUGCACACGUGCUACAAUGAUUAUUGCAGUGAGCAUCUCAUUUAUACACACCGCAUGCGCGAGUCUAUUUAUUCACCAUUUGUGUGCUUUAAAUAUGUAUCUCUGCGCGCGGUAAAGCCUGCUUCGAAAGUAAGUGGGUAAUCAAUUAGAAGUAAUGAUUUCCUUUUAUAGCACACAUAUAUACGGCAUCUUUACCCGGCUUACCUUGUUGUAAGUUUCUUGUGUGUAUUGAUGUUUUUUCCGUAUGUGCGAUUGUCAAUUCAUGGUGGGGACAGACCAUUGUUAAUUGUUGGUCUCGGUCUUAACUAGGAAUGCCUUGUACGGGUCUUUGGUUCAACAAACCACCCGGAAUACGUCCCUGCCCUUUGUACACACCGCCCGUCGCUCUUACCGAUGGACUUCUCUGUGAGUUUGAGGGACUGGGAACGCAUACCUCUUGUAUGCACACCUAUGGAAACUUAAACGAACAGUGUGGUCUAAAGGAAAGAGAAGUCGUAACAAGGCAUCGGUAGGUGAACCU